UGAGAUAUAUUUUCAAUGCCAGAGACAGUAGGUAUUUAAGAGCGUAAGCCACCUACCGAGGCGUGUAGAAGAUCUGCCCUUCUGCGGCCUCGUUUUGGGGCCGCUUUUCUGAAAGGAGG
This is a regulatory RNA element of Mesotoga prima MesG1.Ag.4.2, 119 nucleotides long. It matches the Rfam family "Ribosomal protein L10 leader". Rfam says of the family: This family is a putative r-protein leader autoregulatory structure found in B. subtilis and other low-GC Gram-positive bacteria. It is located in the 5' untranslated regions of mRNAs encoding ribosomal proteins L10 and L12 (rplJ-rplL). The record is from Rfam. Lineage: Bacteria; Thermotogati; Thermotogota; Thermotogae; Kosmotogales; Kosmotogaceae.